GUGACUUUUAUGGAGAAACCUGGUAUAAAUAUAGGCGGAGUUGAAGCGUCAGAAUCAACCCGAACCCAGGCCUUCACGCUAGAUCCUCGUCGGACGUUGAAGCAGCGGUAUGAUUCGAGGUAAAGCUCCGACGACUCUCAUUUCUUUGAUUCUCCUGAAAAUAUGCGCUAACAAAUUUCGUCCGCGUCAGCUCCUGCAUCUCAAGCCGCCCGCGGGGCUCGUCUGUCAGAGAGCGCUAGACUCCAUCGCCUUGCGCUACAGCGUCGCCAGAGCCAACAAUUCCAACAGCCACAAGAACAACAACAACAAGAACCGCGGAGCCCUGAAGAGGAGUGUCUAAUCGGCGAGCUGGAACACGUGCUGUCCAGACAGCCGAGCGUGGAGCCUUCAACUUCCUAGAGCGGGGCCCCUGUGCUUCUAGCUGAGCAGCGCGUCCCGGAACAGGCGAGGCGAACCCCCGUGCGUCGUCCGGGGACUCCUCUUCCAAGGGGUCGUUCCGGUAAGUUUCUUUUUUUUUUUAAAGAGGGUUGUUUCUAUGGCCUGUGACUAACUCAAGACUGUUUUCAAUCAGAUUCCGCUCGUCCGGGACUACGAGGGAGGAGGCGGUUCCGAGGAUCGAGGCUGCUUUUCAAUAGGGCCGUUGAGCACAGAUUUGAGAGCGUCGUCUGGAAUGUUAUUGAGAGGAGUCUGAUGAUGAAUGAUUUGCUCCGCACGCUGAUGUGAAAACUGUGCUGGAAUGUCACUCAUUUGAUUAUUAAACAACAAGAUGGCUGAGGAAAACUCUGAUCUCAAUGAUUUACAAGCCGAAUUAGAGGAUGUGUUAACUUUGAUAUCCAAUGGCCAAAGAGGGUUUCGGGGUGUGAACAUAACCACCGAGCAUUUUGAUCGGUUGGAUAAUUU
Molecule: long non-coding RNA, 900 nt
Filed under: Betta splendens (Siamese fighting fish)
Lineage: Eukaryota; Metazoa; Chordata; Actinopteri; Anabantiformes; Osphronemidae
Description: lncRNA (ENSBSLG00000014166.1)
Source: RNAcentral